GACGAACGCUGGCGGCACGCUUAACACAUGCAAGUCGAACGAGAGAAGAGAAGCUUGCUUUUCUGAUCUAGUGGCGGACGGGUGAGUAACACGUGAGCAAUCUGCCUUUCAGAGGGGGAUACCGAUUGGAAACGAUCGUUAAUACCGCAUAACAUAGUUGAACCGCAUGAUUUGAUUAUCAAAGAUUUAUCGCUGAAAGAUGAGCUCGCGUCUGAUUAGCUAGUUGGUAAGGUAACGGCUUACCAAGGCGACGAUCAGUAGCCGGACUGAGAGGUUGAUCGGCCACAUUGGGACUGAGACACGGCCCAGACUCCUACGGGAGGCAGCAGUGGGGAAUAUUGCACAAUGGAGGAAACGCUGAUGCAGCGAUGCCGCGUGAGGGAAGAAGGUUUUAGGAUUGUAAACCUCUGUCUUCAGGGACGAAAAAAGACGGUACCUGAGGAGGAAGCUCCGGCUAACUACGUG
RNAcentral lists this ribosomal RNA (465 nucleotides) under uncultured bacterium. RNAcentral describes it as "partial 16S ribosomal RNA". It matches the Rfam family "Bacterial small subunit ribosomal RNA", at positions 28 to 507 of the family's 1533-position model. The record is from RNAcentral.